GCCGGGUGCGGUGGCAUGCACCUCUAGUCCCAGCUACUCAGGAGGCUGAGGUAGGAGGAUCGCUUGAGCCUAGGAGUUCGAGGCCUCAGUGAGCUAUGAUCUCGCCUGUGAAUAAUCACUGCACUCCAGCCUGGGCAACAUAGCAAGAUCUCAUCUCUU
This is an unclassified non-coding RNA of Pongo abelii (Sumatran orangutan), 159 nucleotides long. It matches the Rfam family "Metazoan signal recognition particle RNA". From Rfam's summary of the family: The signal recognition particle (SRP) is a universally conserved ribonucleoprotein. It is involved in the co-translational targeting of proteins to membranes. The record is from Ensembl. NCBI's taxonomy places the organism in Eukaryota, Metazoa, Chordata, Mammalia, Primates, Hominidae.